Molecule: ribosomal RNA, 280 nt
Filed under: uncultured prokaryote
Description: partial 16S ribosomal RNA
Rfam family: Bacterial small subunit ribosomal RNA
Source: RNAcentral
UACGUAGGGGCUAGCGUUAUCCGGAAUUACUGGGCGUAAAGGGUGCGUAGGUGGUUUCUUAAGUCAGAGGUGAAAGGCUACGGCUCAACCGUAGUAAGCCUUUGAAACUGGGAAACUUGAGUGCAGGAGAGGAGAGUGGAAUUCCUAGUGUAGCGGUGAAAUGCGUAGAUAUUAGGAGGAACACCAGUUGCGAAGGCGGCUCUCUGGACUAUAACUGACACUGAGGCACGAAAGCGUGGGGAGCAAACAGGAUUAGAUACCCCUGUAGUCCCUGAGCGGG